AUGGUGCGUCCCUGGGGCUGGUAAAAAGGAACCAGAUCAACUUGCAACUGGAUUUGGUCCCCUUCAACCAGCUGCAGCGGCGCAUGUG
This 88-nucleotide microRNA precursor is filed under the name Columba livia (rock pigeon). Its description in RNAcentral is "microRNA cli-mir-133c precursor". Its record names the gene cli-mir-133c. The stretch from base 9 to 80 matches the Rfam family "mir-133 microRNA precursor family". From Rfam's summary of the family: mir-133 was first experimentally characterised in mouse and homologues have since been discovered in several other species. Lineage: Eukaryota; Metazoa; Chordata; Aves; Columbiformes; Columbidae. The record is from miRBase by way of RNAcentral.